CCUGAGUAUCCAUUUCUUGCUCUUGUUUGACUCUACUUUAACACCGAAAGGAGAAUGCUUCCUUUACUCCCACCCUUGCUGAAUGCUGCUCAAGAAGAGUGGGGAACACGGCUUUCUUGUGCCUCUGUACAAGUAGAGCAGAAGAACCUGCCAUGGAGAUCCUGUAGAGGUGGCCCUCUGUGGAUAAGUGAAUACAGCAAUAUCCUAGGGUUUUACUUUGUGACAUCAUUGCUUCUCGAGAACCAACUGACCACGAACAGCAACAAGGUCUUCAAUCAGAAUUAAAACUCAAUUCAAAACACUUUCGAAGAGCAUUUGGAGAUACAUAUUAAGAGACUGCAGUGUCUAAACUUUUAGAAGUAAAAAUGCCAUUUCUAGUCCUAUGUCCUACAAAUUCCAUUUCUAGGUAUAUACCCAAGAAAAAUGAAAAUGUAUGUCCACAUAGAAACUUCUGCAAAAAUGUUUCUACUAGCAUUAUUCAUAAUAGUAAUGUGUGGAAACAACCCAAAUGUCCAUCAACAGACAAAUGGAUAAACAAAAUGUAGUAUAUAUCCCUACAGUGAAAUAUUAUUUGCCUAUAAAAGGGAAUGAAGUAUUGAAGGCUACAAUGUGGAUGAGCCUUGGAAACAUUAUACUAAGUGAAAGAAGUUAGUUACAUAAGACCACAUAUUACAUGAUUCUAUUAAUAUAAAACAUCCACAACAGGGAAAUCUAUGGAGACAGAAUGCAGACUAUUGGUAGGGGUGGUGGGAAGGGGAGAAAAGGGUAGGGAAGUGAUAGCUAAAGAGUACUGGGUUUCUUUUGGAGAUAAUAAAAAUGUUUCAAAAUUGACUUUGGUGAUGGUUUCAUGUAUCUGUGAAUACACAAAAAACACAUAUAAUUAUACUGUAAAAAUGGGUGAAUUAUGUGGUGAGUGAAUAAUACUCAACAAAUCUCUUCAAAAAUAAUUAUAUUUAUGGGAAAUCAAAGUUGAGAAAAUGAUCCAAAAUAAACCAGAAAACUCCUUUCG
Molecule: long non-coding RNA, 1009 nt
Filed under: Homo sapiens (human)
Lineage: Eukaryota; Metazoa; Chordata; Mammalia; Primates; Hominidae
Description: HSALNT0043424
Source: RNAcentral